RNAcentral lists this ribosomal RNA (715 nucleotides) under uncultured Cytophaga sp. RNAcentral's name for it is "bacterial SSU rRNA". It matches the Rfam family "Bacterial small subunit ribosomal RNA", at positions 8 to 716 of the family's 1533-position model. Lineage: Bacteria; Pseudomonadati; Bacteroidota; Cytophagia; Cytophagales; Cytophagaceae. The record is from RNAcentral.
AGAGUUUGAUCCUGGCUCAGGAUGAACGCUAGCGGCAGGCCUAACACAUGCAAGUCGAACGGUAACAGGAAUUAGCUUGCUAAUUUGCUGACGAGUGGCGCACGGGUGCGUAACGCGUAUGCAAUCUACCUUGUACUGGAGUAUAGCCCAGGGAAACUUGGAUUAAUCCUCCAUAGUCUAUUGAUAUGGCAUCGUAUUAAUAGUAAAGGUUACGGUACAAGAUGAGCAUGCGUCCUAUUAGCUAGUAGGUGUGGUAACGGCACACCUAGGCAACGAUAGGUAGGGGUCCUGAGAGGGAGAUCCCCCACACUGGUACUGAGACACGGACCAGACUCCUACGGGAGGCAGCAGUGAGGAAUAUUGGACAAUGGGCGGGAGCCUGAUCCAGCCAUGCCGCGUGCAGGAAGACUGCCCUAUGGGUUGUAAACUGCUUUUAUACGGGAAGAAUAAGUGUUACGUGUAGCACGAUGACGGUACCGUAAGAAUAAGCACCGGCUAACUCCGUGCCAGCAGCCGCGGUAAUACGGAGGGUGCAAGCGUUAUCCGGAAUCAUUGGGUUUAAAGGGUCCGUAGGUGGACUAAUAAGUCAGUGGUGAAAGUCUGCAGCUUAACUGUAGAAUUGCCAUUGAUACUGUUGGUCUUGAAUUGUUGUGAAGUAACUAGAAUAUGUAGUGUAGCGGUGAAAUGCAUAGAUAUUACAUAGAAUACCGAUUGC